UACGGAGGGUGCAAGCGUUAAUCGGAAUUACUGGGCGUAAAGGGCGCGUAGGCGGUUAAAUCAGUCAGAUGUGAAAUCCCCGAGCUUAACUUGGGAAUUGCAUUUGAUACUGUUUGACUAGAAUGUGGUAGAGGGUAGCGGAAUUUCUGGUGUAGCGGUGAAAUGCGUAGAUAUCAGAAGGAACAUCAAUGGCGAAGGCAGCUACCUGGGCCAACAUUGACGCUGAGGCGCGAAAGCGUGGGGAGCAAACAGG
Molecule: ribosomal RNA, 253 nt
Filed under: uncultured bacterium
Lineage: Bacteria
Description: partial 16S ribosomal RNA
Rfam family: Bacterial small subunit ribosomal RNA
Source: RNAcentral